AACGAACGCUGGCGGCAUGCCUAACACAUGCAAGUCGAACGAGACCUUCGGGUCUAGUGGCGCACGGGUGCGUAACGCGUGGGAACCUGCCCUUAGGUUCGGAAUAACUCCCCGAAAGGGGUGCUAAUACCGGAUAAUGUCUUCGGACCAAAGAUUUAUCGCCUUUGGAUGGGCCCGCGUUGGAUUAGCUAGUUGGUAGGGUAAAAGCCUACCAAGGCGACGAUCCAUAGCUGGUCUGAGAGGAUGAUCAGCCACACUGGGACUGAGACACGGCCCAGACUGCUACGGGAGGCAGCAGUGGGGAAUAUUGGACAAGGGGCGAAAGCCUGAUCCAGCAAUGCCGCGUGAGUGAUGAAGGCCUUAGGGUUGUAAAGCUCUUUUACCCGGGAUGAUAAUGACAGUACCGGGAGAAUAAGCUCCGGCUAACUCCGUG
Molecule: ribosomal RNA, 433 nt
Filed under: uncultured bacterium
Lineage: Bacteria
Description: partial 16S ribosomal RNA
Rfam family: Bacterial small subunit ribosomal RNA
Source: RNAcentral